Silurus meridionalis is the source of this 318-nucleotide long non-coding RNA. RefSeq lists it as uncharacterized. The transcript is spliced from 4 exons. NCBI's taxonomy places the organism in Eukaryota, Metazoa, Chordata, Actinopteri, Siluriformes, Siluridae. The record is from RefSeq and is a predicted model, not a curated record.
CCGUAUCCUCCCCUUUUCAGGCUGCUAUAGUGAUUUCAGCCUGUCUUUUCAGUGUGUCCCUGUUGGAUGCUGGUUUGGAUCUGUUUACUGUCCUCCCUGCAGUUUAACAGCAGGUUAUUUGAAGGCUGCAUAUCCUGAGCGGUGCAUUGAUUCUCAGGAACUUAUCUAUCCGCGUUUGGAUCCUCCUUUUUCGUCCUGGGUGAUUAUUGCUGUGAUUCGACUUUUCCCUCGCUGCGUGCCGAGUGAACAACCUUGGCUUACAACUAUUUAAAAGGGGAAUUCUGCUGCUGCCAUUUGGCUUUUGUGAUUUGUUUUAAC